Lagenorhynchus albirostris (white-beaked dolphin) is the source of this 1740-nucleotide long non-coding RNA. RefSeq lists it as uncharacterized. Lineage: Eukaryota; Metazoa; Chordata; Mammalia; Artiodactyla; Delphinidae. The record is from RefSeq and is a predicted model, not a curated record. The transcript has 5 exons.
CCCUCCCGUCCCCUCCCCUAGCGUCGCGAGUUCCAACCGGGCAGCGAGACCCGGCCGACUCAGGGUGCCAGAGUACUGGAGAGCUAAAAAUAUAACCGGUCACCGUUCUGGCCAAAUUGCAUCCUACUGGGAAACCUUACAAGACAGGAUGAGAAAGGCUGUGGGAGAGCGGAGUGAAUCCCUGGAAGGAAGGUGUUGAAUUUUUGCGCGUUUCUGUAUUUAUUCGAAUCUCCCCUGCAGUGCUGAAAACACACCAGCCUUGAGGAAUAUCACUGAAACAAAACUGAGAAAUCCAGCUUCCUUGAUCCACUCCUCCAAAUGGGCAGGAGCAAAGACAGCCACAACAGAAAUUAGCUUUGGAGAAGAGUGAUUGGAUGGAUGCCAAGGGCAAAUGAUUUGCUAUGUACUGACCUGAUGUGAGUGAAUUCUAGUAAACAAGGCACAUCCCAUCAAAAGGACUUAUGAAAGGGGACUUCCCUGGUGGCGCAGUGGUUAAGAAUCCACCUGCCAAUGCAGGGGACACAGGUUCGAACCCAGGUCCGGGAAGAUCCCACAUGCCGCGGAGCAACUAAGCCCGUGUGCCACAACCACUGAGCCUGCGCUCUAGAGCCCGUGAGCCACAACUACUGAAGCCCGCGCACCUAGAGCCCGUGCUCCGCAACAAGAGAAGCCACCGCGAUGAGAAGCCCGCGCACUGCAGGGAAGAGUAGCCCCUGCUUGCCGCAACUAGAGAAAGCCUGCACGCAGCAACAAAGACCCAACGCAGCCAAAACUAAAUAAAUAAUAAAUUGGGUUAAAGAAAGAAAAAAGGACUUAUGAAAGGACACCACUAGGUUUAGUCAGAUAGAUUGGACUUGCCACUUAUUAGCUGGGUGAGAGGCUGUAAAUGGAGAUAAUAAUAAUCCCUAUUUAACAAAGCUACUGUGAAGAAUAAGAGAGAUAGCGUGUGUAUGUGUGUGUGUCUGUGUGUAUGCAUAUGUGUGUGUGUGUAUAUAUAUAUAUAUAUAUAUAUAUAAAACUACCUACUCUUUGCAUAAGGAAAUAUUAAGAAUUAUUUAUCUUUUGGGAAUUCCGUGGUGGUCCAGUGGUUAGGACUGUGUGCUUCCAUUGUAGGGGGCCUGGGUUUCAUCCCUGGUCCAGGAACUAAGAUUCCACAGCCAGGCAAUGCAGACAAAAAAAAAAAGGGGCUUCCCUGGUGGCGCAGUGUUGAGAGUCGGCCUGCCGAUGCAGGGGACACGGGUUUGUGCCCCGGUCUGGGAAGAUCCCACAUGCCGUGGAGCGGCUAGGCCUGUGAGCCAUGGCUGCUGAGCCUGCGCGUCUGGAGCCUGUGCUCCACAACGGGAGAGGCCACAACAGUGAGAGGCCCGCAUACCGCAAAAAAAAAAAAAAAAAAAAAUUUUCUUAUUUUUAAAGAUUUUAUUUAUUUAUCUAUCUAUUUAUUUAUUUGGUUGCAUUGGGUCUUAGUUGCCGCACACAGGAUCUUUGUUGCCAUCUGCUGGAUCUUCAUUGGGGCAUGCAGCAUCUUUUAGUUGCAGGCUCUUAAUUGCAGCAUGCAAACUCUUAGUUGUGGCAAGUAGGACCUAGUUCCCUGAGCAGGGAUCAAACCCGGGUCCCCUGCAUUAGGAGAGCAGAGUCUUAGCCACUGGACCACCAGGGAAGUCCCAAGAAUUAUUUAUCUUUUGCCUUACGCCUUAUCCUAGAUUAGGUAACCAGAUACCUUAUACUAGCCUAUUGGUAAUG